GAUGAACGCUGGCGGCGUGCCUAAUACAUGCAAGUCGAGCGAACAGACGAGGAGCUUGCUCCUCUGACGUUAGCGGCGGACGGGUGAGUAACACGUGGAUAACCUACCUAUAAGACUGGGAUAACUUCGGGAAACCGGAGCUAAUACCGGAUAAUAUAUUGAACCGCAUGGUUCAAUAGUGAAAGACGGUUUUGCUGUCACUUAUAGAUGGAUCCGCGCCGCAUUAGCUAGUUGGUAAGGUAACGGCUUACCAAGGCGACGAUGCGUAGCCGACCUGAGAGGGUGAUCGGCCACACUAGAACUGAGACACGGUCCAGACUCCUACGGGAGGCAGCAGUAGGGAAUCUUCCGCAAUGGGCGAAAGCCUGACGGAGCAACGCCGCGUGAGUGAUGAAGGUCUUCGGAUCGUAAAGCUCUGUUAUUAGGGAAGAACAAAUGUGUAAGUAACUAUGCACGUCUUGACGGUACCUGAUCAGAAAGCCACGGCUAACUACGUG
Molecule: ribosomal RNA, 497 nt
Filed under: uncultured bacterium
Lineage: Bacteria
Description: partial 16S ribosomal RNA
Rfam family: Bacterial small subunit ribosomal RNA
Source: RNAcentral